RNAcentral lists this long non-coding RNA (1484 nucleotides) under Ananas comosus (pineapple). RNAcentral's name for it is "long non-coding RNA (ACOM_LNC002286)". Lineage: Eukaryota; Viridiplantae; Streptophyta; Magnoliopsida; Poales; Bromeliaceae. The record is from RNAcentral.
UAAUCGUGAACUUGUAUGAGUUGAUAUUUUCUAUUAUGCAUGCAAUCGAAGUUUUAUGGAUCUUUAGUAUUUGGAUUUAUACGUUGUGGUUUUCUACCCCUCGAGGUAGUCGGUUUUCAAAAAUAGAGUUUCCGAAUGGGAAACAGUUUUAAAAAGUUUUUAAAUGAUUGUUCAUGGAUAAACAAAUAGAGUUUAAAAAUAAAUCUUUCGGAUGGGGAGUACUUUUAAAUAGGAUGACUGUUGUAUUGUGCAUCGCAUCAUCCAGAGCCUAAGCAGUGUUUAGAGACAUACAUCAUCUUUAAGGAUCGCUAGCUGUAUGGAAUUGCAUCGCAUGAAUUGCUUGUGGAUUGGUAAAUAUAGAUUGUGAGUUAUGAUCCUUUUGUUGUUAUCGUUAGGUACGCCGUGCAAAUAUAAAGGAGACUCUGUCCGUGUGGGUAGAGGAAUUUUAUAAUUGUGGCGAGUACGCCACGUGGGCAGGUUGAAUUCAAAAAAAAAAGGCACUUUUUCCACCACUCUGAUUUUUUUAAAAAAAAUAGUAUUUGAUCAUUAUAAAAAGGAAUUUAAAAUCGGCCCCAGAGCGUGAUAGAAAAAUAGAAUAAAUUAACAGCGUAAAUUAGUGAACAUCGCUGAAGUUUCCAACAUUUGAUUAAAAAUGAUAUUAAAUAUAAUAAAGUAGCAGUACUUAUUGCUAAAUAUCGUCACUAAUCAAUAUAUAAUUAUUAAUAUAUCCCAUUUUAUACAUAGAAUUAAAAAUUUUAAAAUUAAAGUUUAGAAAUUUGAAACUUAUAAUUGAAAAAAUUAAAUUAUAAUUUAAAAUUUUAUAUUUUAAAUUUUAAAUUCUAAACUUUUAAAAUUUAAAAUUAUUUUAAAUUUUAAAGUUUUAAAUUUUUAUUUAUUUUAAAUUUAAAACUGCAUAUUUUGAAAAUUAAUAUUUGAUAUUUAAAAAUUAAAAAUUUGAAUUUAAAAUCUAAAUUUAGAAUUUAAAUUUAAAAUUUUAAAAUUUAGAAAUUAAAAACUUAAAAUUUAAAAUUAAAAGAAUUCAAAUAUAUAUAACCGACAGCCCCUAGCGCAAGUGGCAAAGGGCUUGGUGAUUAGUAAUCUGAGGUCUCAACUUCGAAUUGUUGAGUCACAUUUCCAACUAAGUUUAUUUGUAAAGGAAAUAAAAGCGGGUAGAAUGCUACAUUUCUCUAAAAAAAAUUCAAUAACAAAUAUAAAUUUCAAUUUCAGUUUAAAUUUAAAAAUUGAAUCUAAAAUAAAAUUAAAAUUUUAAAAUUUGAGUACCCAAAAUUAGGUAUUUGUAUUAGUGGCAUUAUAUUUAUGCAUCAUUAAUAAACAACUUAAAAUUAACAUUUAACAGCUCUUUUAGCAGUAUAUUGCUAAUGACACCAAUUGAUUUACAUUGACGGCAUUCAUUAUAAAUACUGCCAAUACUUUUAGCAAUAUUGGCAUAUGGAGUAUUUUGUGUCAUAUGCUGCCAAAACUUU